Molecule: transfer RNA, 73 nt
Organism: Ipomoea nil (Japanese morning glory)
Lineage: Eukaryota; Viridiplantae; Streptophyta; Magnoliopsida; Solanales; Convolvulaceae
Rfam family: tRNA
About the family: Transfer RNA (tRNA) molecules are approximately 80 nucleotides in length.
Source: Rfam
GGGGGUGUAGCUCAUUUGGUAGAGCGCUCGCUUCGCAUGCGAGAGGCACGGGGUUCAAUUCCCCGCACCUCUA